Molecule: long non-coding RNA, 713 nt
Organism: Capsicum annuum
Lineage: Eukaryota; Viridiplantae; Streptophyta; Magnoliopsida; Solanales; Solanaceae
Exons: 2
Source: RefSeq, a predicted model, not a curated record
AAAAAAUUAAUUAUUUAACUUUAUAUAUUUUACUUUUCUCUUUAUAUAUUAUUUCUCCUUAAGAAAAUUUCUCUCUCUUUCUCAUUCCCCAUUUUGUUUCAUUUUUUUAUUCAACUCAAUUUCAUUUCUAUAAUCAUCAAAUCAAACAAUUCAACUCCACAAGAGCAUAAACUAAACAUUCCAAAGGCUCGUAUGUAUAUCCCAACAGUUCGGGUACAUUGUGCUGACUACCCCAGCUGGUAUCAUGGACCAUGAAGAGGCUAGGAGUAAAAAUGUUGGUGGAAAGGUUCUUGGUUUCUUUUAUUGAGUCAUGUUGACGAGGAUGAAAACUUUAAUUUUGUUGUUUGUUGCCCCUUUAUAUCUACUUUUAGUUGUUUUUGCCGCUCCCAUCAAAUUGUGGUAGGAAUUUUAUUGAAAAUUUUGAGACAAUUAUCAGAAUUUGUUGAAAAAGCUUGGUGCUUGUUGACAUAAAAAAAAAUCAGUGGCUCGUACAAAGCUCUGUUGUUGCUGCAUUGCAAGUAGAAUGAUGGAAUGUCGACAAUUUGGUGUGUGUGUGUGUGGAGCAGUCAUGAUGUUUUGUUGAAGAGAAGAAAGAAAGAAAGAAGUAAGAAGAUUGAAGUAAUUGUUAAUUUUGCUAUUUUGAUGAAAUUGAAUGUGGCUCAUUUGGGGCGUGUAUGUUGAAAUAAUAAUUAAUUGAGUUAUUUUUUAUGAAA